GAAGGCUCUCUGGUUGGAGGUCCCUGCUUGGUGGUGUUUUCCCUCUGAGCCUGGAUCUUCAGAGAUGGGAAUAAAAGGAAGAUUUUGAUAAUGGAAUUGGUGGUACUUCCCUUUUUGUAACUGGCUUGAAAGAAGCUGCUAUUGCACGAAGUCCCUCUAUCUGUGAGCCCAGUGAGCUGUUUUGGGCAGACACAUUCUCAUAACCUUUGUGAGCCUUCGGCUUUGGAGGUCCUAAAGCUGCUAUUGUUCAGUCAGUUUCCAAGCUCAAGAAGAAUGUUUUCUUCAUAAAGAAUAUGUUAAAUAUUACCAGAAUUUCAGCAUCAGUUUUAUAUUUCAGGCAUAUGAUUUGGCAUGUUCUGUGAAUGAUGAAACAUAGCUUUUAAGUUAUGAUUUAAUUUAGAUUUUUUAAAUUAAAAUAGCAGCUGUUUCUCUACAUGUGAAAUGUGAGUCCACUGUAACUUCACUUGUAUAAGUGCUGUUUUCAAGGUAUAACAUACUGUAUAACCCAAGAGCAGAAUAAGGCUGGAUUCAGUAAAAGUACACGUCUAGUUGCACUGAGAGAGUGCAAGGCUCUGCUAAGCUUGACAAAUCAUUGUCAAGAGCUUGGAUAAAGUUUAUUUUUCUCUUUAGUUUUUAUUCUUUUGCCAGACAUACCUAUUCUCUCUUUGCUUGAGCUGAGUCUGAAGAUUGGUAAUAUGGUUUAUGGGAAUUACAGUGGUAUGACAAGUUUCAAUAAAGGAUAAACUGGAUGAAGGUAGAGGAGAACUUUUGGUAGAGCACAACUUUUGGAUUACAUGCUGGACAACAACUAUAUUGGCAGAGAAGUUCCUGUGCAGAGAGAGAAUGAAAGAUAAUGUAUUAUUUAAGUUCUGUUUCAAGAACAUAAGAAGUCAGUGUGCGAUGUUGUGAAGAGGGUAAAAUUCCCCUUGCAUUUAGAUGUGUUUCUGAUGCCAUGGUAAAUCAUAAACAAUAUAGGCUGAAAGAUGCUAUAUGGAGUUCUAAAAGAUUAAUUUUUUCAGUGGGACUUGGAUUUUUUCAAAGGCUUAAAACACUGAUGCCUUUGCACAGUAUUUUGCAUUAGAUUUUUUUCCUAGGAAUGUCUGUAGUUUGUUUCCCCCCUCCCUUUUUUGCGUGUGCUUUCAUGAACUUCUAGAAGAAAUUGAUUGUUUUUUUCUGGGUAAUUCACAGAGAUGAAUAUGAAUACAGCCAGGUUAUCCAAAUGUGUUAACAGCUAUGUGUUGUUGUAGGUUGUAGGCAGGGAGGUCACUUCUUUAGGAGCACAGUAAUAGGAAAUAACUUAGGAUAGAAUCUUGCCACACUAAGGAAAAAACAGCUCUAACUCCAGUAAAUGAUGCUGUUCUCAAUCACUGUCCUUUUUUUACUUACUGCUUUGUACUUAGAGGCAAUUGUAGAGUAGACAGGAUCCAGCACUUCAGGAUAUCUGCACAGGGAGGGACAGUAGGUCCAUUUUUCAUGCAUCUAUCUGCUCUCAGAAUUUCACUCGUGUCUCUUCUUGGGGCGUCCUAGGAAGCAGUGCUAAAAUGAAUGUCCUUGACACUUCCUGCACUUCAUUCUAGGUAUUGCACAUCAUUUAUAUACAGUCUCACAAUGGAAUAAUUUUUUUUAAAGAUAUUGUGGGUAGCCAAAAUAUGUGGAACUACUUAUAUGAGGACAAAUUUCAGUGUAAAUCUUAAUGCUGUGUGCUUUUUAGUCUUUUUUUUUUUAAUGGAAUUCUUUCCAUGUGCAGCAGUCCAUGGUUAAAGCUGGGCAAAUAAGCUCUUUGUAUCUCCACCUCCUGCAAAAUCAAAAAUCAAAAGGUUAAGGGGAUGAGGAAAAUUCAGGGUAAUACACAAUGACUUCCUGUAAUUAAAAAAAAAAGUCCUUCAUGUGAUUGGCUAAAAUAAUUAUUUGAGAUCAACAGCUGUAACAUAAAAUAAGCAAUUUUUUUUGCAUUUUUACCACUAGAAUUUAUUUAAAAUAUUCCUUUAAAAAGCAGCUUAUUUCAUGAGAUGUACCAAUGAUUUGAUAUGAGUGGUUGAAAUGUUUCAUCCAGAAAAUAUUUUGGUAAAAUGUUCAGCCAUGCUUUCUUCAUUCCAUUUUGCUAUUUCAAAUUAUUUGAUGAAUUUGACCUGAAUUUUCAGAUGUUUUCUACAUGUUGUCCCAGCAUGACAUUUCCUGACAAAGAUAUUUGUCUGAAAAAUAUUACCCCAUUGCACUGGACGUACCUGUGUGCCUGCAAGGCACUGGUAGAGAAUGGAUGUUGAAAGAAGAGACCGAUUACUCUUCACAUAAGUAACCUCCACCAAGAAAUUCUGUUAAGAGAAGUAGAAUUGUUAAUGCAAAGACUUUCACUGGGCAAAAUCUGGUACAGAAUGAAAGUGAUAAAUCAGUGACUUAAAUCAAAACUCGAGGUCCAUAAAUUCCUUUUUCAGCAGUAGGUUAAACUGUCAGGUUUAACAAAAGCUUACAACGCUCGCCUGCUCUCUGGUUCUGAUGCUGCAAGUGCUAUUGCUACCAGGUGUCAUGCUCACUGCUGAACCCUGCCACACUGAGGAAACUGACUGUUUGGGGAUACCUAGGACCUGAUUUAGCUUAGCAAUGCAUCCAACAUGUUAUUCGUACAGAGGUUUCCAGUGCUGCCUUGAUAAUAAACUCUAAACCUGGCAGAUUUUCCACAAUCAUGUGCGAUAAACUUGCUAAAAAAAAAACUCAUUCUUGAACUAUCGUUCUCAUGUUCUUUUUCUGAAUGAUCUGACAAAGAAGUCGCCUAACUGUAAAUUUCUUGGUAUUUUAUUUGGUUUUGAUUUAAAACCAGCUCGCUGAAACGUACGAUGGUGAAAUGUGUUUUUGCUUGCCAGGAGAAUUCUUUGAAUUGCUUUAUUUCUUCAAGUGAUCUCUCAGUAUCACUUGUACCACAUCAGCUUCUGCUGUGUUAUUCUCAUUACAAAUCUCUCAGCAUAACCUACACAAUCCUUCUUUUCGGGUUUCGUAGUUCAGUCAAAUUAAAUUUGGACCAUAAGAGUUUUUUGGGAUAGAAGCAGCUUCAGCGUGCUGAAGAACCAGAGGCCCCUUGAAAAGACAGGAGAGAUCAUUGGACUGUAGGGACUGUGAACUUCUUCAGUGUGUCUGUGUGAAGUUGAGAAAGAUCUAAAAUGGACUGUUGUGGAGAAAGCAGAAAAUGCUGGAGAGGAACUGGCUGCAACUGGACAAAAGAGACCCAAGUUUUAUGGGAUGCUCAGUCUCUUGAAAAGGAAUAUUAAGUUAAUUUUAAGUGUUGCAAAUGCCUUCUGCGGGGCAUCUGCUGAGCAGAAAUUUCCUCUGCACUUUUCAAAGUCUGGUUUAGACAGGCUAAUAAAUCUCUGCCUCCCUUCAGCUGCAGAGGGUUGGCAUUUUAUGGCUUCAGAAGGUGAAGAAGAGAACGUUACAUCUUGUAUGAAAAGAUAAUUCUAGAGCAGCACCAAAGGAGUACACAGACUUCAUCACUUAAUGCUCUCUGCUAAGUAGCUGAGCGCGUUGUUUUAACGGAGAACAAAGGCUCAGAGUGCAGAAGGACUGAGAACUGAGAAGGCUGAGUAGACAGAAAGGAAACAGAUAUGUUUGCAGAGGAGGCUGGGGAGAUGUAAGGAAAUCUGUAUGCGUGCACAUGAUUUGU
Non-coding RNA from Meleagris gallopavo (turkey), 3652 nucleotides. The record is from RefSeq and is a predicted model, not a curated record. Lineage: Eukaryota; Metazoa; Chordata; Aves; Galliformes; Phasianidae.